RNAcentral lists this RNase P RNA (373 nucleotides) under Rothia santali. RNAcentral describes it as "Bacterial RNase P class A". It matches the Rfam family "Bacterial RNase P class A". From Rfam's summary of the family: Ribonuclease P (RNase P) is a ubiquitous endoribonuclease, found in archaea, bacteria and eukarya as well as chloroplasts and mitochondria. Its best characterised activity is the generation of mature 5'-ends of tRNAs by cleaving the 5'-leader elements of precursor-tRNAs. Cellular RNase Ps are ribonucleoproteins. The record is from Rfam by way of RNAcentral. Lineage: Bacteria; Bacillati; Actinomycetota; Actinomycetes; Micrococcales; Micrococcaceae.
CGGGUCGGCCUGGCGAUCGCGCGGCGUGGUGAACGUCUCGAGGAAAGUCCGGGCUCCGCAGAGCAGGAUGGUGGAUAACGUCCACUCGGGGUGACCCGCAGGCCAGUGCCACAGAAAACAGACCGCCCGCCGUCUCGGCGGGUCAGGGUGAAACGGUGGUGUAAGAGACCACCAGUUCCCGCGGCGACGCGGGAAGCUCGGUAAACCCCAUCCGGAGCAAGGCCAGACAGGAUGCGCCACGAGGGCUGCUCGCCCCAGCAUCCGGGUAGGCCGCUCGACCCCCGGAGCAAUCCGGGGGCUAGAUGGAUGAUCGCCCAGGCGCUCGGAGCGAUCCGGCGCCGGACAAAACCCGGCUUACAGGCCGUCCCGUCCC